RNAcentral lists this ribosomal RNA (424 nucleotides) under uncultured bacterium. RNAcentral describes it as "partial 16S ribosomal RNA". It matches the Rfam family "Bacterial small subunit ribosomal RNA", at positions 359 to 776 of the family's 1533-position model. The record is from RNAcentral.
AAGUUUGGAUAAUGGGGGAAACCAUGAUCCAGCCAUUCAGUGUGAGUGAUGAAGGCCUUCGGGAUGAAAAGCACUUUUGUCAGGAUCGAAAAUUAUCAGGCUUAUACCUGGAACUGAUGACGGUACUCGAAGAAUAAGACCCGGCUAAUUACAUGCCAGUAUCCGCUGUAAUAGGUAGGGUGCAAGCGUUAAUCGGAAUUACUGGGCGUAUAGCGUGCGCAGGCGGUUCGGAAAGAAGGAUGUAAAAUCCCAGAGCUCAACCUUGGAACUGCGUUCUUAACUACCGAACUAGAGUAUGUCAGAGGGGGGUAGAAUUCCGCGUGUAGCAGUGAAAUGCGUAGAUAUGCGGAGGAAUACAGAUGGCGAAGGCAGCACCCUGGGAUAAUACUGACGCUCAUGCACGAAAGCGUGGAUAGCAAACAGG